CAGUCGCCGCGGUAAUACGAAGGUCCCGAGCGUUGUUCGGAAUCACUGGGCGUAAAGGGAGCGUAGGCGGCGUGGUAAGUCAGAUGUGAAAUCCCGGGGCUCAACCCCGGAACUGCAUCCGAUACUGCUGUGCUAGAGGAUUGGAGAGGUAGCUGGAAUUCUUGGUGUAGCAGUGAAAUGCGUGGAGAUCAAGAGGAACACUCGUGGCGAAAGCGAGCUACUGGACAAUAUCUGACGCUGAGGCUCGAAGGCCAGGGUAGCGAAAGGGAUUAGAUACCCCAGUAGUCCCUGUCUCUUAUAC
This 301-nucleotide ribosomal RNA is filed under the name uncultured bacterium. RNAcentral's name for it is "partial 16S ribosomal RNA". It matches the Rfam family "Bacterial small subunit ribosomal RNA", at positions 509 to 807 of the family's 1533-position model. The record is from RNAcentral.